Molecule: ribosomal RNA, 446 nt
Filed under: uncultured bacterium
Lineage: Bacteria
Description: partial 16S ribosomal RNA
Rfam family: Bacterial small subunit ribosomal RNA
Source: RNAcentral
CCUACGGGAGGCAGCAGUCGAGAAUCAUUCACAAUGGGGGAAACCCUGAUGGUGCGACGCCGCGUGGGGGAAUGAAGGUCUUCGGAUUGUAAACCCCUGUCAUGUGGGAGCAAAUUAAAAAGAUAGUACCACAAGAGGAAGAGACGGCUAACUCUGUGCCAGCAGCCGCGGUAAUACAGAGGUCUCAAGCGUUGUUCGGAAUCACUGGGCGUAAAGCGUGCGUAGGCUGUUUCGUAAGUCGUGUGUGAAAGGUGCGGGCUCAACCCGCGGACGGCACAUGAUACUGCGAGACUAGAGUAAUGGAGGGGGAACCGGAAUUCUCGGUGUAGCAGUGAAAUGCGUAGAGAUCGAGAGGAACACUCGUGGCGAAGGCGGGUUCCUGGACAUUAACUGACGCUGAGGCACGAAGGCCAGGGGAGCGAAAGGGAUUAGAUACCCCAGUAGUC